RNAcentral lists this ribosomal RNA (773 nucleotides) under uncultured bacterium. RNAcentral describes it as "bacterial SSU rRNA". It matches the Rfam family "Bacterial small subunit ribosomal RNA", at positions 94 to 872 of the family's 1533-position model. The record is from RNAcentral.
AGUGGCGAACGGGUGAGUAACACGUGAGUAACCUGCCCCCUUCUUUGGGAUAAGCCUGGGAAACUGGGUCUAAUACUGGAUAUUCUGCUUCUGCCGCAUGGUGGUUGUGGGAAAGGUUUUUCUGGUGGGGGAUGGGCUCGCGGCCUAUCAGCUUGUUGGUGGGGUGAUGGCCUACCAAGGCUUCGACGGGUAGCCGGCCUGAGAGGGUGACCGGCCACACUGGGACUGAGAUACGGCCCAGACUCCUACGGGAGGCAGCAGUGGGGAAUAUUGCACAAUGGGCGAAAGCUUGAUGCAGCGACGCCGCGUGGGGGAUGAAGGCUUUCGGGUUGUAAACCUCUUUCGACAGGGAACAAGGCAUGCUUUUUGGCGUGUUGAGGGUACUUGUAUAAGAAGCGCCGGCUAACUACGUGCCAGCAGCCGCGGUAAUACGUAGGGCGCGAGCGUUGUCCGGAAUUAUUGGGCGUAAAGAGCUUGUAGGCGGCUUGUCGCGUCUGCUGUGAAAUCUUCGGGCUUAACUCGGAGCGUGCAGUGGGUACGGGCAGGCUAGAGUGCAGUAGGGGAGACUGGAAUUCCUGGUGUAGCGGUGGAAUGCGCAGAUAUCAGGAGGAACACCGAUGGCGAAGGCAGGUCUCUGGGCUGUUACUGACGCUGAGAAGCGAAAGCAUGGGGAGCGAACAGGAUUAGAUACCCUGGUAGUCCAUGCCGUAAACGUUGGGCACUAGGUGUGGGGCUUUUGUUCCGUGCCGUAGCUAACGCAUUAAGUGCCCCGC